GGACGAACGCUGGCGGCGUGCUUAACACAUGCAAGUCGAACGAUGAUCCUGGAGCUUGCUCUGGGGGAUUAGUGGCGAACGGGUGAGUAACACGUGAGUAACCUGCCCUUGACUCUGGGAUAACCUCCGGAAACGGAAGCUAAUACCGGAUAUGACGCACGGAGGCAUCUCCUGUGCGUGGAAAGAAUUUCGGUCAAGGAUGGACUCGCGGCCUAUCAGGUAGUUGGUGAGGUAACGGCUCACCAAGCCUACGACGGGUAGCCGGCCUGAGAGGGUGACCGGCCACACUGGGACUGAGACACGGCCCAGACUCCUACGGGAGGCAGCAGUGGGGAAUAUUGCACAAUGGGCGAAAGCCUGAUGCAGCAACGCCGCGUGAGGGACGACGGCCUUCGGGUUGUAAACCUCUUUUAGUAGGGAAGAAGCGAAAGUGACGGUACCUGCAGAAAAAGCACCGGCUAAAUAC
Molecule: ribosomal RNA, 466 nt
Filed under: Leifsonia sp.
Lineage: Bacteria; Bacillati; Actinomycetota; Actinomycetes; Micrococcales; Microbacteriaceae
Description: bacterial SSU rRNA
Rfam family: Bacterial small subunit ribosomal RNA
Source: RNAcentral